Molecule: ribosomal RNA, 473 nt
Filed under: uncultured organism
Description: partial 16S ribosomal RNA
Rfam family: Bacterial small subunit ribosomal RNA
Source: RNAcentral
ACUCCUGCGGGAGGCAGCAGUGGGGAAUUUUGGACAAUGGGCGAAAGCCUGAUCCAGCAAUGCCGCGUGAGUGAAGAAGGCCUUCGGGUUGUAAAGCUCUUUUGUCAGGGAAGAAACGGUGAAAGCUAAUAUCUUUUGCUAAUGACGGUACCUGAAGAAUAAGCACCGGCUAACUACGUGCCAGCAACCGCGGUAAUACGUAGGGUGCAAGCGUUAAUCGGAAUUACUGGGCGUAAAGCGUGCGCAGGCGGUUUUGUAAGUCUGAUGUGAAAUCCCCGGGCUCAACCUGGGAAUUGCAUUGGAGACUGCAAGGCUAGAAUCUGGCAGAGGGGGGUAGAAUUCCACGUGUAGCAGUGAAAUGCGUAGAUAUGUGGAGGAACACCGAUGGCGAAGGCAGCCCCCUGGGUCAAGAUUGACGCUCAUGCACGAAAGCGUGGGGAGCAAACAGGAUUAGAAACCCUAGUAGUCCCAUG